Molecule: ribosomal RNA, 2719 nt
Filed under: Salmonella enterica subsp. enterica serovar Enteritidis
Lineage: Bacteria; Pseudomonadati; Pseudomonadota; Gammaproteobacteria; Enterobacterales; Enterobacteriaceae
Description: partial 23S ribosomal RNA
Rfam family: Bacterial large subunit ribosomal RNA
Source: RNAcentral
GUGCUAAUCUGCGAUAAGCGCCGGUAAGGUGAUAUGAACCGUUAUAACCGGCGAUACCCGAAUGGGGAAACCCAGUGUGACUCGUCACACUAUCAUUAACUGAAUCCAUAGGUUAAUGAGGCGAACCGGGGGAACUGAAACAUCUAAGUACCCCGAGGAAAAGAAAUCAACCGAGAUUCCCCCAGUAGCGGCGAGCGAACGGGGAGGAGCCCAGAGCCUGAAUCAGCAUGUGUGUUAGUGGAAGCGUCUGGAAAGGCGCGCGAUACAGGGUGACAGCCCCGUACACAAAAGCGCAUGUGCUGUGAGCUCGAUGAGUAGGGCGGGACACGUGGUAUCCUGUCUGAAUAUGGGGGGACCAUCCUCCAAGGCUAAAUACUCCUGACUGACCGAUAGUGAACCAGUACCGUGAGGGAAAGGCGAAAAGAACCCCGGCGAGGGGAGUGAAAAAGAACCUGAAACCGUGUACGUACAAGCAGUGGGAGCACCCUUUGGGUGUGACUGCGUACCUUUUGUAUAAUGGGUCAGCGACUUAUAUUCUGUAGCAAGGUUAACCGAAUAGGGGAGCCGGAGGGAAACCGAGUCUUAAUUGGGCGUUAAGUUGCAGGGUAUAGACCCGAAACCCGGUGAUCUAGCCAUGGGCAGGUUGAAGGUUGGGUAACACUAACUGGAGGACCGAACCGACUAAUGUUGAAAAAUUAGCGGAUGACCUGUGGCUGGGGGUGAAAGGCCAAUCAAACCGGGAGAUAGCUGGUUCUCCCCGAAAGCUAUUUAGGUAGCGCCUCGUGAAUUCAUCUCCGGGGGUAGAGCACUGUUUCGGCUAGGGGGCCAUCCCGGCUUACCAACCCGAUGCAAACUGCGAAUACCGGAGAAUGUUAUCACGGGAGACACACGGCGGGUGCUAACGUCCGUCGUGAAGAGGGAAACAACCCAGACCGCCAGCUAAGGUCCCAAAGUCAUGGUUAAGUGGGAAACGAUGUGGGAAGGCCCAGACAGCCAGGAUGUUGGCUUAGAAGCAGCCAUCAUUUAAAGAAAGCGUAAUAGCUCACUGGUCGAGUCGGCCUGCGCGGAAGAUGUAACGGGGCUAAACCAUGCACCGAAGCUGCGGCAGCGACACUGUGUGUUGUUGGGUAGGGGAGCGUUCUGUAAGCCUGUGAAGGUGUGUCGUGAGGCAUGCUGGAGGUAUCAGAAGUGCGAAUGCUGACAUAAGUAACGAUAAAGCGGGUGAAAAGCCCGCUCGCCGGAAGACCAAGGGUUCCUGUCCAACGUUAAUCGGGGCAGGGUGAGUCGACCCCUAAGGCGAGGCCGAAAGGCGUAGUCGAUGGGAAACGGGUUAAUAUUCCCGUACUUGGUGUUACUGCGAAGGGGGGACGGAGAAGGCUAUGUUGGCCGGGCGACGGUUGUCCCGGUUUAAGCGUGUAGGUGUGUGUUCCAGGUAAAUCCGGUUCACUUUAACACUGAGGCGUGACGACGAGGCACUACGGUGCUGAAGCAACAAAUGCCCUGCUUCCAGGAAAAGCCUCUAAGCAUCAGGUAACAUCAAAUCGUACCCCAAACCGACACAGGUGGUCAGGUAGAGAAUACCAAGGCGCUUGAGAGAACUCGGGUGAAGGAACUAGGCAAAAUGGUGCCGUAACUUCGGGAGAAGGCACGCUGACACGUAGGUGAAGUGAUUUACUCAUGGAGCUGAAGUCAGUCGAAGAUACCAGCUGGCUGCAACUGUUUAUUAAAAACACAGCACUGUGCAAACACGAAAGUGGACGUAUACGGUGUGACGCCUGCCCGGUGCCGGAAGGUUAAUUGAUGGGGUCAGCGCAAGCGAAGCUCCUGAUCGAAGCCCCGGUAAACGGCGGCCGUAACUAUAACGGUCCUAAGGUAGCGAAAUUCCUUGUCGGGUAAGUUCCGACCUGCACGAAUGGCGUAAUGAUGGCCAGGCUGUCUCCACCCGAGACUCAGUGAAAUUGAACUCGCUGUGAAGAUGCAGUGUACCCGCGGCAAGACGGAAAGACCCCGUGAACCUUUACUAUAGCUUGACACUGAACAUUGAGCCUUGAUGUGUAGGAUAGGUGGGAGGCUUUGAAGUGUGGACGCCAGUCUGCAUGGAGCCGACCUUGAAAUACCACCCUUUAAUGUUUGAUGUUCUAACGUGGACCCGUUACCCGGGUUGCGGACAGUGUCUGGUGGGUAGUUUGACUGGGGCGGUCUCCUCCUAAAGAGUAACGGAGGAGCACGAAGGUUGGCUAAUCCUGGUCGGACAUCAGGAGGUUAGUGCAAUGGCAUAAGCCAGCUUGACUGCGAGCGUGACGGCGCGAGCAGGUGCGAAAGCAGGUCAUAGUGAUCCGGUGGUUCUGAAUGGAAGGGCCAUCGCUCAACGGAUAAAAGGUACUCCGGGGAUAACAGGCUGAUACCGCCCAAGAGUUCAUAUCGACGGCGGUGUUUGGCACCUCGAUGUCGGCUCAUCACAUCCUGGGGCUGAAGUAGGUCCCAAGGGUAUGGCUGUUCGCCAUUUAAAGUGGUACGCGAGCUGGGUUUAGAACGUCGUGAGACAGUUCGGUCCCUAUCUGCCGUGGGCGCUGGAGAACUGAGGGGGGCUGCUCCUAGUACGAGAGGACCGGAGUGGACGCAUCACUGGUGUUCGGGUUGUCAUGCCAAUGGCACUGCCCGGUAGCUAAAUGCGGAAGAGAUAAGUGCUGAAAGCAUCUAAGCACGAAACUUGCCCCGA